UACGUAGGGCGCAAGCGUUUAUCCGGAAUUAUUGGGCGUAAAGAGCUCGUAGGCGGUUUGUCGCGUCUGCCGUGAAAGUCCGGGGCUCAACUCCGGAUCUGCGGUGGGUACGGGCAGACUAGAGUGAUGUAGGGGAGACUGGAAUUCCUGGUGUAGCGGUGAAAUGCGCAGAUAUCAGGAGGAACACCGAUGGCGAAGGCAG
Molecule: ribosomal RNA, 202 nt
Filed under: uncultured bacterium
Lineage: Bacteria
Description: partial 16S ribosomal RNA
Rfam family: Bacterial small subunit ribosomal RNA
Source: RNAcentral